This is a long non-coding RNA of Vespa crabro (European hornet), 1802 nucleotides long. RefSeq lists it as uncharacterized. The record is from RefSeq and is a predicted model, not a curated record. The transcript has 2 exons. Lineage: Eukaryota; Metazoa; Arthropoda; Insecta; Hymenoptera; Vespidae.
AAUUGUAUGUAGAUGACCUGAUUUUCUCAAUGCACACACACACACAAGCGCGCGCGUCCAAUUAUAAUCAUCAAUAAAAGUUAGUUUGAAAAAGCCCGCCUUUUAGCUUGCUUCUAAUUGGCUAGCGUUCUCUGCUUUUUUAUCUCUCUCUCUCUCUCUCUCACUCUUUCAGAAAACAAAAAAACUAUUGUUUUUAUUAUUCUUAUUAUUCUUAACAGGAUGAUUACGAUCGUAAGACGCAAUUCGAAAAAACACGUAAUAAACUUAUGCAACGAAUUUAUGUUUCAGAGCGAAGAGAAGAAAAGAGAGAAGGGAGGGAUAGAAAUGAUGACGAGGGUCAACAACAUAAAAUACGUAAGCGUUAUCGAUAAAUCAAGGAAAUACCACGAUGACGUACUCGUGACGUGUGUCAAGAUAUAUUAUUUCUUAUAUAGCUGAAAAUAGCAACUAUGAGAGAGAGAGAGAGAGAGAGAGAACAAGCUUAAUUCUAUGAAGUUAGCAUCAAUGAAAUUUCAUUCUAAGAAGUAUUUUAUUUGAAAACAAAUUUAAUUCCAUAACUUAACAUAAGUAUUAUAUUCGAGAACCACUGUCAAAAUGAAUUUCCAUAUCUCUUAUCUAAUAUUAGAUAAUUUAUAUUACGUUUUGUUUUUAAUGUAUUCUGAAACAAAAUGAAUAAUAAUAAUAUACUAAAACGAAAUGAAAUGAUGAAUUCUAUCGAUAAUAAAAAAAAGAUAGAUAAAUUCCAUCUCGAAAACAAAACAAAGUAAUAUUAUAAAAAGGCUCGUCUUGAAUUAGGUCAACGACCUAACGUGGAGGACGCAAGAAAAAAAAAAUACGAUCAAUAAAGAAGAAUGGCAGGCAUGAUUUCGCAUAUAAGAGAGGCUAUUUCAAAAUACACGUGUUUGUAGAAUGUUUAUAUAAGUUUAUGUAAGAACGUAAUUAAGUCGUUCAAAGAAAUAUUCCUGAAUCACGUAAUAUUUACUCGAUCGAAACGAACUUCACGAAUUUUGUUAAAUGUAAUAAUUAGAAAAUUGUCACAAGAUAACAAUAAAGCUCCUAUAUUUUUUCUUAUCUUCGUGUUGCCAUUCAUCAAAAGUGAUAGGGAUCGGCUGUGGUGGUGCCUGGUACGGUUAAGAACCGGUCAAUUGUUAUUUCCUUUUUUUUUUUUUUUUUUAUUAUCGUGUACAUCACGUGAUUUCCGAACGACGUAGAAGAAUACAUAUCAUUUGGGAGAAAUCUACAUUAACGUUUCCAUAGAAUUUACCUUUGAAACGGAGACAUUCGAUUAAUUAAACACGCACACACAGACAUACGAAAUCUCGAUAAAGCACGAGAGAAAGAGAGAAAGAGAAAGAGAGAAAGCUUAAAUCCGGAGAACGGAAGGACCAAGCUGAAGUUGGUUGUGAUACAUGUAAGUUUAAAGUAUUGAUCGAAUCGAUGGUAGAAAUGCGUCGUAAACGAUAAUUAUGCGACUGAAAAUGAAAACAUUAUAUUUCAACAGCAUCAUAUCAAAUCUAUUGUCACUGAUGUGUUAUUUUUCCAUGGAAACGAAGUCGACGUUGUGUAAUGAGAAAGAGAGAGAGAGAGAGAGAGAAAAGAAAAAGUAAAGAGGGACGAAGGCUAGCGAGGUGAAAGCGAGCGAAAAUGGCGUCCUUCGAGAGUGGUAUCGUUCUCAUGACGAUACAACGAUGACUUCAACAUGAAAUGUUCUUACGAAUCCAACUUUCUAAUCUCUUUCUUAUGUAUACACAGAUCUAUGUUAAUAAAUAUUUUAUUACAUACAUACGUUAACAAUGAAACAA